UACGGGGGGGGCAAGCGUUGCUCGGAAUUACUGGGCGGAAAGGGCUCGUAGGCGGCCAACUAAGUCGGAUGUGAAAUCCCCAGGCUUAACCUGGGAACUGCAUCCGAUACUGGAUGGCUUGAAUCCGGGAGAGGGAUGCAGAAUUCCAGGUGUAGCGGUGAAAUGCGUAGAUAUCUGGAGGAAUACCGGUGGCGAAGGCGGCAUCCUGGACCGGCAUUGACGCUGAUGAGCGAAAGCUAGGGGAGCAAACGGG
RNAcentral lists this ribosomal RNA (253 nucleotides) under uncultured bacterium. RNAcentral's name for it is "partial 16S ribosomal RNA". It matches the Rfam family "Bacterial small subunit ribosomal RNA", at positions 524 to 776 of the family's 1533-position model. The record is from RNAcentral.